This 253-nucleotide ribosomal RNA is filed under the name uncultured prokaryote. RNAcentral describes it as "partial 16S ribosomal RNA". It matches the Rfam family "Bacterial small subunit ribosomal RNA", at positions 524 to 776 of the family's 1533-position model. The record is from RNAcentral.
UACAGAGGUCCCGAGCGUUGUUCGGAUUCACUGGGCGUAAAGGGUGCGUAGGUGGCCAGGUAAGUUUGGUGUGAAAUCUCCGGGCUCAACCCGGAAAUGGCAUUGAAUACUAUCUGGCUAGAGGUUUGUAGGGGGGACUGGAAUUCUCGGUGUAGCAGUGAAAUGCGUAGAUAUCGAGAGGAACACCAGUGGCGAAGGCGAGUCCUUGGACAACACCUGACACUGAGGCACGAAAGCUAGGGGAGCAAACGGG